CCAAUAGCGUAUAUUAAAGUUGUUGCAGUUAAAAAGCUCGUAGUUGAAUUUCGAGAUCAGUACGCUGGUCGUGCCUUCGGUAUGCACUGGUGUCACUGGUUUCUCCCUUCUGAAGAACCGUCAUGCCAUUCAGUUGGUGUGGCGGGGAAUCAGGACUGUUACUUUGAAAAAAUUAGAGUGUUUAAAGCAGGCUCGCGCUUGAAUACAUUAGCAUGGAAUAAUGAAAUAGGACGUUUGACCCUAUUUUGUUGGUUUCUAGGAUCGACGUAAUGAUUAAUAGGGGUAGGUGGGGGCAUUAGUAUUCAAUUGUCAGAGGUGAAAUUCUUGGAUUUAUUGAAGACUAACUACUGCGAAAGCAUUUGCCGAGGAUGUUUUCAUUAAUCAAGAACGAAGGUUAGGGGAUCGAAGACGAUCAGAUACCGUCGUAGUCUUAACCAUAAACUAUGCCGACUAGGGAUCGGAUGAUGUUAAUUUUUUAAUGACUCAUUCGGCGCCUUACG
RNAcentral lists this ribosomal RNA (500 nucleotides) under uncultured Glomeromycotina. Its description in RNAcentral is "partial small subunit ribosomal RNA". It matches the Rfam family "Eukaryotic small subunit ribosomal RNA", at positions 591 to 1092 of the family's 1831-position model. Lineage: Eukaryota; Fungi; Glomeromycota. The record is from RNAcentral.